GCCAGACUCCUACGGGAGGCAGCAGUGGGGGAUAUUGCACAAUGGGGGGAACCCUGAUGCAGCGACGCCGCGUGGGUGAAGGAGUAUUUCGGUAUGUAAAGCCCUAUCAGCAGGGAAGAACAAUGACGGUACCUGACUAAGAAGCACCGGCUAAAUACGUGCCAGCAGCCGCGGUAAUACGUAUGGUGCAAGCGUUAUCCGGAUUUACUGGGUGUAAAGGGAGCGUAGACGGCUGCGCAAGUCAGAAGUGAAAGCCCGGGGCUCAACCGCGGGACUGCUUUUGAAACUGUGUAGCUAGAGUGCAGGAGAGGGAAGUGGAAUUCCUAGUGUAGCGGUGAAAUGCGUAGAUAUUAGGAGGAACACCGGUGGCGAAGGCGGCUUACUGGACGGUAACUGACGUUGAGGCUCGAAAGCGUGGGGAGCAAACAGGAUUAGAUACCCCAGUAGAC
Molecule: ribosomal RNA, 449 nt
Filed under: uncultured bacterium
Lineage: Bacteria
Description: bacterial SSU rRNA
Rfam family: Bacterial small subunit ribosomal RNA
Source: RNAcentral